Molecule: ribosomal RNA, 498 nt
Filed under: uncultured bacterium
Lineage: Bacteria
Description: partial 16S ribosomal RNA
Rfam family: Bacterial small subunit ribosomal RNA
Source: RNAcentral
AUUGAACGCUGGCGGCAUGCCUUACACAUGCAAGUCGAACGGUAACAGGUCUUCGGAUGCUGACGAGUGGCGAACGGGUGAGUAAUACAUCGGAACGUGCCCAGUCGUGGGGGAUAACGAAGCGAAAGCUUUGCUAAUACCGCACACGAUCUACGGAUGAAAGCGGGGGAUCGCAAGACCUCGCGCGAUUGGAGCGGCCGAUGGCAGAUUAGGGAGUUGGUGGGGUGAAGGCUUACCAAGCCUACGAUCUGGAGCGGGUCUGAGAGGACGACCAGCCACACGGGGACUGAGACACGGCCCAGACUCCUACGGGAGCCAGCAGUGGGGAAUUUUGGACAAUGGGCGCAAGCCUGAUCCAGCAAUGCCGCGUGCAGGAUGAAGGCCUUCGGGUUGUAAACUGCUUGUGUACGGAACGAAAAGCUCUGGGUUAAUACCCUGGGGUCAUGACGGUACCGUAAGAAUAAGCACCGGCUAACUACGUGCCAGCCGCCGCCGUAA